CAUGGCUCUUUGAUUAAAUAUAAUAAAGAGUCGGACCUGCCCAGUGAAAUAUUUUAACGGCCGCGGUACUCUGACCGUGCAAAGGUAGCAUAAUCAUUUGCCCUAUAAUUGGGGGCUGGUAUGAAUGGUUUGACAAGAGCAAUUCUGUCUCUAUAUAAUUUUAUAAAAUUUAAUUUUCAGCUGAAGAAGCCUGAAUUUAAUUAAAAGACAAGAAGACCCUAUCGAGCUUUAAAACAGUUAAAAGAUAUUAAGUGUAUUUAUACAACUACAACUUUUAAAAAUUUUGGUUGGGGCGACCUAGGAACAAAUAAAGCUUCUUUUUGUAAAAAAAUACACAUAUUUUGAUCCAAAAAUUUUGAUUGAAGAAAUUAGUUACCGUAGGGAUAACAGCAUAAUCUUUUUUGAGAGCUCUUAUCGAAAAAAAGGCUUGUGACCUCGAUGUUGGACCAAAAUAUCCCAAAGAUGCAACCGUCUUUAAGGGUUGGUCUGUUCGACCAUUAAAAUUUUACGUGAUCUGAGUUCAGACCGGCGUGAGCCAGGUCAGUUUCUAUCUUUAAUUAUCAAAAAUAAAUUCAGUACGAAAGGACCAAUUUUAUAGUAUUUUAUACUAACAAAGAACGAAUAUAAUUUUAUAAUUAAAAAAUUAAAUCAAAUUAGCAAAGAUAUGCAAUUGAUUUAGGAUCAAUAGAUAUAGGUGAAAACCCUUUAUUUGAUAGUUGCAGGUAUAUAAAGAUGGCAGAUGAAGUGCAUUAGG
This 754-nucleotide ribosomal RNA is filed under the name Capulus ungaricus. RNAcentral's name for it is "partial 16S ribosomal RNA". The stretch from base 1 to 579 matches the Rfam family "Bacterial large subunit ribosomal RNA", at positions 1814 to 2925 of the family's 2925-position model. Lineage: Eukaryota; Metazoa; Mollusca; Gastropoda; Littorinimorpha; Capulidae. The record is from RNAcentral.